UGGCUCAGAACGAACGCUGGCGGCGUGCUUAACACAUGCAAGUCGAGCGGAAAGGCCCUUCGGGGUACUCGAGCGGCGAACGGGUGAGUAACACGUGAGCAACCUGCCCUCAGCUCUGGGAUAGCUCCCGGAAACGGGAAUUAAUACCGGAUACGACCCUGACCGACAUCGGCCAGGGUGGAAAGGUUUACCGGCUGAGGAUGGACUCGCGGCCUAUCAGCUAGUUGGUGGGGUAACGGCCCACCAAGGCGACGACGGGUAGCCGGCCUGAGAGGGCGACCGGCCACACUGGGACUGAGACACGGCCCAGACGAAUACGGGAGGCAGCUUUGGGA
RNAcentral lists this ribosomal RNA (335 nucleotides) under uncultured bacterium. RNAcentral describes it as "bacterial SSU rRNA". It matches the Rfam family "Bacterial small subunit ribosomal RNA", at positions 20 to 359 of the family's 1533-position model. The record is from RNAcentral.